AGGGACUGCACCACCAAGAUACCCUAACCCUACUUUCUAACAGCAUUCUUCUCCCUGAAGUGGUCAAAGCAACAAUUGCAGCCUGCUUUUUUAAAAGAGUUCUUCCAGGGUGUUUGAACGCUGUGUGUUGCUUAGAUUUGUUUGUCCCGUCUCAAGAACUGCUAUGUGGAUAUAAAUAUGCAACAAAUUGAUUCAUGGAGAGCUCUUAAAAUAAUACCUGAAACAUGGGGCGCCUG
This is a non-coding RNA of Callorhinus ursinus (northern fur seal), 236 nucleotides long. The record is from RefSeq and is a predicted model, not a curated record. Lineage: Eukaryota; Metazoa; Chordata; Mammalia; Carnivora; Otariidae.